Molecule: long non-coding RNA, 470 nt
Filed under: Rattus norvegicus (Norway rat)
Lineage: Eukaryota; Metazoa; Chordata; Mammalia; Rodentia; Muridae
Description: long non-coding RNA NONRATT032328
Source: RNAcentral
GGUUUGUCCAGACCCAAGCCGUGAUUUCCAUCCCAACCCCAACGGUCCCCAAACAUGAGGCCUUGAGGUUUGUCCAAGCUAACUGGGCAGAGAGAGAUGUCUGUCCAGGUCCUCUCUAACCUCCCCUCCCCCUCUCCACGCUCUGGAAUUGGAAGCAGACAGGUUUUCCUCAGCCUUUUGGGGGCACACCCUUUUAUCUGCCUGUUUUAUGGCGAAAGCCACGGAGCUAGCCCAGUUCCAUUUCCUGUUGGUUCAGGGUGGAGAGGGCCUCGUCCUGUGGGCUACACUGCGUCUCAACUGGAAGAGGAAAGACGUACAUUCUCUGGCUGUCAGCUGUGUGUGGGCCUGUCUUCCCGUAACUGGACACCGUCAGGGGUGGGAACAGUGGAUAACCCAAAAGAACAGAGGAAUUAUCUUCUGGUAGCAUUUCAUGUCGCUUUGUGUCAGCAUUCCACAAUAAAUGAUGCCAC